GGAAAGAUUGGUGGGUUGUAUAUAUAAAAUUAAGUCUCGAGCCAUUUAUUAUGAGCUCGAAGAAGAAGAAGAGCUUCAUUUAUUAGAAUACUUUCAAGAGGAUGAAACAUUAGAAGUUCAUCAGUUUUUAAUAGAUGCAGAGUUGGAUGCUUUAGGAAUUUUCUUACAUGAUGACCAACAUAAGGAGGUAGAUCAUACUGAGUUUAUUUUAAAAGACAAUCCUAUCCAAGAAGAUGAAGAAAAGGAAGAAGUGGAAGAAG
RNAcentral lists this long non-coding RNA (260 nucleotides) under Elaeis guineensis (African oil palm). Its description in RNAcentral is "long non-coding RNA (EGUI_LNC023635)". Lineage: Eukaryota; Viridiplantae; Streptophyta; Magnoliopsida; Arecales; Arecaceae. The record is from RNAcentral.